GGAGCUAUGGUGUGUGGAAAUUCCAAACUGUAGCUUAGUUGCCUUGCCCUGAAACUUGUCUCCUCUGGAGAUACAGGGCUGGGGGCAAGGCUGAGCGAGAAGAAUCUGUCUUGGUCAAUCCUGGUGCUCUGGAAGAAAACCUUGUGUGAUGGUCAUCUCUAGUUGGUAAUCUGAUAUAAGUUGAGUUGCCGACAGAACCCAGCUGAGGAGAAUGACUGGUCUAAUCCCAGCAUGGCUUUCCUGCUCCCUUUGCUAGGUGUGUGAUUUCCCAGCUUCCCUUGGAGAAAUGUCACUGCCAUGAUUGUGUUACAGAGGACCUCCAUCUAGCCAGCACGCUCACACUCCUUCCCUGGAUCGGUUUGAUGAAGCAGGCCUCCAUGUUGUAAACUGUCUCAUGGAGAGGCCCAACUGGCAAGGAACUGAGGAAAGCCUCUGGCCAACAGCCAGUGAGGAGCUGAAUCCUGCCAACAACACUGAGAAAGUUUGGAAGUGGAUCCUGCCCCAGUUGAACCUUCAGAUGGCUGUGGUCUCAGCUGACAUCUUGAUUGUAGCUUUGUAAGAGACUUUGACCCAGAGGACUCAGAUGAUGAAACAGGACACAGAGAGGUUAUUUUUCCCAAAUCCAGUAAAGACGCAGAGCUGGAGGUUGAACCAGGGCUUCCGAUGCCAAUUCUGGAUUGCUCCUGGCUGUGCCAUGUUGGUUCUGUAUGCCAAAAUUCUUGGACUUUCUUGCUAUUGUUGACCCCCAGUGUCUUGCUAGAUGCUGCCUGGGACCGACACUGAGCAGAAUCAUGACAGGAGUGUCCGUGUCCCUAGGCUUCCCUUUUUGCCCAAUUGCCCUAUAUUGGUGGAGGCUCCAACCUGCCCUGCAAGAUGCUGGGUGCUCUUCUGCAUCUGACUUAUUCUUCCGCUCUGAUUUAUGUGAACUUAUUUCCAAGACGUGGUAAUUAAUCACCGCCUCAGCAAGGGGGAUCUGGGGGGGCUGACAAAGCACUGGAGCCCCUAUAGGAUUCCACAAACAUUGGGAUAAUCAAUAUUCCUAUUGAUAUAUUUAUUCUGGAUUCCCUGUGUACUUACUGGGUACUUGUUCUGAGUGCUCCUCCUGUGCCAGCUGCUGGGGAUGCAAUGAUGAAUGAAGAAGUGAAUCCAAACCUGGAAGUGGAUAUUUUUAAAAAAGUCCCAUCAUCAUUUUGGGAGCUGAGAUGUCCCAGUGUCACAAAAGAGAAUUUCUCAAUGAGGAACUGACCAGCGAGGGAGAAAAAUACCCUUUAAAAACACUUCCUGCUAGAAGUCAAAUGGUGGGCAAGCAAGAGUUGCACCAUCAAUGCAGCAUUCUUCUGGGUUCAUUUUCUGACUUUGGAAGAGAUAAGAAAAUCGAGGCAUGGAAACAAUGCUGUCCACAGCCACACCGAGGGGGCAAAGUAGAGCUGGAAUUCCAACACUGGUCUGUCCAGCUUCAAGACCCAACCUCUCUAUGAGGAUGAAAACCUAAUGAAACAAAUCAAAACAGAUGAAACAACCUCAGCCUACAGGCUAAAGAAUGCGCUCACUCACUCAAGUCAUAGUGAAGAUGUGGAACACAUCAUUUUGCUGGUACAGAGGCAGAUUCACAGAUGAGAAUGUCAGGGAUUCUGUCUCAGAGGCGCUCGUGUCCUUACAAGGGAGGUGUAAGGACUACCUUGUUUUUCAUCUGCCCAUCUUCUUCAUUUCAUAUUGGGAUUUCCCCUUCCCAGUUCACAUGCCAACUGGAAGGUUUGCGAGUCCAAAUCCCAGCACUCAUCUGGCAAAGGGGUGAAUGUUUGACUCAUAUUGGAAAAUUAGACUAUAGGAAAGUAAAUGAUGACCCCCUAAUCUGAAAAUGGCUAGAGCGGAUUAAUCCAGCUAGCAGCACUCUGAAGAUAGCUGCCCAUUUGUUCCUGCCAUCUGGCUGUUCAGCUUUCCUUCUUUCUGAGAGCUUCCUUGUGGCAGCUACUGUAGGUUGGUUCACUCAGCGCCCAUUCCAUUUCCCGUCAAGCCGUGCUUUCUCUGCUCUAGAACGUGGAAGACUCAAAGCUCGCUUUCCCAGACUUCCUUGCAGCUAGGAGUGGCCAUGAUACUUGACCAGCGAGAUGCAAGUCAUUCACCCUCACAGGUUCUGGAACAAGCUCCAAGGCAGAGGGAUGAUGGCCUGGCUGAGCCGCACCGCGCAGGCGCUCUUCCCCAGCGCAGACGCCCUGCUCUGUCCUGACAGUCCCGCGUUGCCCUCAAUCUGAAGGUAUGGAUAAUUAAGGUAAUGAACACUUUUCCACUAGCUGCUGAAAGCCUCAUUAAUCUACACACAUGUUGCCACAGGCAAAUUAUGGCGUCAAGGGUGGGAGGA
This 2359-nucleotide long non-coding RNA is filed under the name Homo sapiens (human). Its description in RNAcentral is "HSALNT0349717". The record is from RNAcentral. Lineage: Eukaryota; Metazoa; Chordata; Mammalia; Primates; Hominidae.